UACGUAGGGGGCAAGCGUUGUCCGGAUUUACUGGGCGUAAAGCGCGCGUAGGCGGAAGCUCAAGUCUGGCCUGAAAGCCCCCGGCUCAACCGGGGAGUGGGGCUGGAAACUGGGUUUCUUGAGGGCGAUAGAGGAGUGUGGAAUUCCUGGUGUAGCGGUGAAAUGCGUAGAGAUCAGGAGGAACACCCGUGGCGAAGGCGGCACUCUGGGUCGGCCCUGACGCUGAGCCGCGAAAGCCAGGGGAGCGAACGGG
Molecule: ribosomal RNA, 253 nt
Filed under: uncultured bacterium
Lineage: Bacteria
Description: partial 16S ribosomal RNA
Rfam family: Bacterial small subunit ribosomal RNA
Source: RNAcentral